Salvia splendens (bonfire salvia) is the source of this 967-nucleotide long non-coding RNA. RefSeq lists it as uncharacterized. The record is from RefSeq and is a predicted model, not a curated record. The transcript has 2 exons. NCBI's taxonomy places the organism in Eukaryota, Viridiplantae, Streptophyta, Magnoliopsida, Lamiales, Lamiaceae.
UAAACGUCUUUCUCUCUCAUCUUUACAAUCUAUCUCUAUCCAUUUUCUCGGCAUUGAAGGAGAAUUUAAAAACCCUAGUUCUCACUUUCCAUCUUCCGCCGCCUCUCCUUCUCCUCUGCCCCCCAACGUUUACCUCUUCUCUCCUUCCACUUUGGUUCAUCUUAUGUAUUGAUUCUCACAACGCAACGUUCUGUUUUUAAUUGGCUCAAGAACGACCUUAAUGAGAAAAGUCGGGUUGAGCCUCGCCGCCCCUCACACCGACGCCGCCCCCACCGCGAUCUGACCCAUCAGAUGACGCUAAAAAUACCGCUACGCCAACCCAACCCGGAGCUUACCGCAACACAACCCCCACCCCGAUCUCACACUUCCGGCGAUUUCACCCCCGCCGCGAUGACAAAGAGGAGCGGUGGGUCGAUUGGAGGCAUCCGUGCUAUAAAGCUUGGAGAGGAAGGCGACAAGUCGUAUGACAGAUGGGUUGUGUGGAUAAUGCAUGUGUGACUUGAUCUGUUGAUGUGUGGGCCUAGCAGAUGUUGUUGGUUGAAUUUGUGCAUUGUUUGAGGCUGAUUUUGUGCAUUGCAAAAAAUGAUUUUGCAUAUCAUUCCAAUAUCUUGUGGUAGUUUGUCUCGACACGCCGAAUUUCUGUUGAGCUUCUUUGAGAGUGCCACGAAGAGGUUUCCCAUUCACGCACUUUUGGAGGAUGAAUUGAACUAUCACGUUUUUCUUCUCUGGUGAAUAUUCAAUAUGUUUUCCCAUAUAUUUAAUGCUGGACUGGAGUUGAAGAAAUGAGAGUAUGAAUCGAUAUUUAUAGACUUAGUUAAUGUAUUUUGUAUUGGCGGCAGAUGUAUCUUUUGGCAGAAUUUCAUUUGCCGCCACUUUAAAUUUUUAGCUGCAGACGUCACUUUAAAUUUCUGGCGGUAGAUGGUAAUGUAACUAAACAAGAGUUCUCCAGUGUAUUUAUUGCAAUUAA